GGCGAACGGGUGAGUAACGCGUGAGCAACCUGACUCUUAGAGGGGGAUAACACUCGGAAACGAGUGCUAAUACCGCAUAAGACCACGACAUGGCAUCAUGACGAGGUCAAAGGAGCAAUCCGCUGAGAGAGGGGCUCGCGUCCCAUUAGAUAGAUGGCGGGGUAACGGCCCACCAUGUCAACGAUGGGUAGCCGAGCUGAGAGGCUGAUCGGCCACACUGGAACUGAGACACGGUCCAGACUCCUACGGGAGGCAGCAGUGGGGAAUAUUGGGCAAUGGGCGCAAGCCUGACCCAGCAACGCCGCGUGAGGGAAGAAGGCUUUCGGGUUGUAAACCUCUGUCCUUGGUGACGAAAAAAAUGACGGUAGCCAAGGAGGAAGCCCCGGCUAACUACGUGCCAGCAGCCGCGGUAAUACGUAGGGGGCGAGCGUUGUCCGGAAUUACUGGGCGUAAAGGGUGCGUAGGUGGCCUUUUAAGUUGGAUGUGAAAUACCCGGGCUUAACCUGGGGGGUGCAUCUAAUACUGGGAGGCUAGAGUGCAGGAGAGGAAAGCGGAAUUCCUAGUGUAGCGGUGAAAUGCGUAGAUAUUAGGAGGAACACCAGUGGCGAAGGCGGCUUUCUGGACUGUAACUGACACUGAGGCACGAAAGCGUGGG
RNAcentral lists this ribosomal RNA (655 nucleotides) under uncultured bacterium. RNAcentral's name for it is "bacterial SSU rRNA". It matches the Rfam family "Bacterial small subunit ribosomal RNA", at positions 97 to 765 of the family's 1533-position model. The record is from RNAcentral.